GUGCUCACUUCGGCAGCACAUAUACUAAAACUGGAACGAUACAGAGAAGAUUAGCAUGGUCCCUGCACAAGGAUGACACACAAAUUCGUGAAGCGUUCCAUAUUUUU
Molecule: small nuclear RNA, 107 nt
Filed under: Phocoena sinus (vaquita)
Lineage: Eukaryota; Metazoa; Chordata; Mammalia; Artiodactyla; Phocoenidae
Source: RNAcentral